RNAcentral lists this ribosomal RNA (501 nucleotides) under uncultured bacterium. RNAcentral describes it as "bacterial SSU rRNA". It matches the Rfam family "Bacterial small subunit ribosomal RNA", at positions 28 to 523 of the family's 1533-position model. The record is from RNAcentral.
GAUGAACGCUAGCGGCAGGCCUAAUACAUGCAAGACGAACGGUAAGUUGAGUAGCAAUACUUAGCCAAGAGUGUCGUACGGGUGCGUAACACGUAUGCAACCUACCCUAUACAGGAGGAUAGCCUAGGGAAACCUGGAUUAACCCUUCAUAGUAUUAUUGGAUGGCAUCAUUUGAUAAUUAAAACUGAGGUGGUAUAGGAUGGGCAUGCGUCUGAUUAGUUAGUUGGCGGGGUAAUGGCCCACCAAGACGAUGAUCAGUAGGGGUUCUGAGAGGAAGAUCCCCCACACUGGCACUGAGAUACGGGCCAGACUCCUACGGGAGGCAGCAGUAGGGAAUAUUGGGUCAAUGGAUGCAAGUCUGAACCAGCCAUGCCGCGUGCAGGAAGAAGGCCCUUCUGGGUUGUAAACUGCUUUUGCCAGGGGAUAAAAUUUCCAUGCGUGGAAAACUGAAGGUACCUGGUGAAUAAGCCACGGCUAACUACGUGCCAGCAGCCGCGGUAA